RNAcentral lists this ribosomal RNA (435 nucleotides) under uncultured bacterium. Its description in RNAcentral is "partial 16S ribosomal RNA". It matches the Rfam family "Bacterial small subunit ribosomal RNA", at positions 29 to 507 of the family's 1533-position model. The record is from RNAcentral.
AGCGAACGCUGGCGGCAGGCUUAACACAUGCAAGUCGAGCGGGCACAUUCUGGUGUCAGCGGCGGACGGGUGGGUAACGCGGGGGAACGUGCCCUCUGGUUCGGAAUAACUCAUGGAAACUUGAGCUAAUACCGGAUACUCCCUUUUUGGCAAAGGCUUGCUGCCGGAGGAUCGGCGCGCGUCUGAUUAGUUAGUUGGUUGGGUAACGGGGCACCAAGGCGACGAUUAGUAGCUGGUCUGAGAGGACGAUCCGACACACUGGGACUGGGACACGGCCCAGACUACUGCGGGAUGCAGCAGUGGGGAAUAUUGGACAAUGGGCGCAGGCCUGAUCCAGCCAUGCCGCGUGAGUGAUGAAGGCCUUAGGGUUGUAAAGCUCUUUUAUCCGGGACGAUAAUGACGGUACCGGAGGAAUAAGCCCCGGCUAACUUCGUG